GAUGAACGCUGGCGGCGUGCCUAAUACAUGCCAGUCGAGCGAACAGACGAGGAGCUUGCUCCUCUGACGUUAGCGGCGGACGGGUGAGUAACACGUGGAUAACCUACCUAUAAGACUGGGAUAACUUCGGGAAACCGGAGCUAAUACCGGAUAAUAUAUUGAACCGCAUGGUUCAAUAGUGAAAGACGGUUUUGCUGUCACUUAUAGAUGAAUCCGCGCCGCAUUAGCUAGUUGGUAAGGUAACGGCUUACCAAGGCGACGAUGCGUAGCCGACCUGAGAGGGUGAUCGGCCACACUGGAACUGAGACACGGUCCAGACUCCUACGGGAGGCAGCAGUAGGGAAUCUUCCGCAAUGGGCGAAAGCCUGACGGAGCAACGCCGCGUGAGUGAUGAAGGUCUUCGGAUCGUAAAACUCUGUUAUUAGGGAAGAACAAAUGUGCAAGUAACUAUGCACGUCUUGACGGUACCUAAUCAGAAAGCCACGGCUAACUACGUG
RNAcentral lists this ribosomal RNA (497 nucleotides) under uncultured bacterium. RNAcentral's name for it is "partial 16S ribosomal RNA". It matches the Rfam family "Bacterial small subunit ribosomal RNA", at positions 28 to 507 of the family's 1533-position model. The record is from RNAcentral.